Molecule: long non-coding RNA, 229 nt
Filed under: Mytilus galloprovincialis (Mediterranean mussel)
Lineage: Eukaryota; Metazoa; Mollusca; Bivalvia; Mytilida; Mytilidae
Source: RNAcentral
AAAAUGUAACAGCAAAAGUAAAUCAAACUUUUAUACAGUAUGAAAGGGGUGACUUGUAAAAUAACCACUUCUUCUGCCUUAAUAAAAGGACUUUGUGUUUACCCAUAAUCCUUUGCUGCUGAGAUAUUAUUAUACUAGUGCUUUAAUGGUGUUCUGAUUCAUUUUUUGUAUGAUAUUAAUUCAUCCAGUUUUUGGAAAGUUGUGGGUAUUUUUUUUAGAUGAUUUUUCC